GAUGAACGCUGGCGGCGUGCUUAACACAUGCAAGUCGAACGAUGAAGCCCAGCUUGUUGGGGGGUUUAGUGGCGAACGGGUGAGAAACACGUGAGAAACAUCCCCUUAACUCUGGGAUAAGCCUGGGAAACUGGGUCUAUAACCGGAUAGAGGCGCCCCCCCCAGGGGGGGUGUUGGAAAGAUUUUGCGGUUUUGGAUGGACUCGCGGCCUAUCAGCUUGUUGGUGAGGUAUUGGCUCACCAAGGCGCGGACGGGUAGCCGGCCUGAGAGGGUGACCGGCCACACUGGGACUGAGACACGGCCCAGACUCCUACGGGAGGCAGCAGUGGGGAAUAUUGCACAAUGGGCGCAAGCCUGAUGCAGCGACGCCGCGUGAGGGAUGACGGCCUUCGGGUUGUAAACCUCUUUCAGUAGGGAAGAAGCGAAAGUGACGGUACCUGCAGAAGAAGCACCGGCUAACUACGUG
Molecule: ribosomal RNA, 466 nt
Filed under: uncultured bacterium
Lineage: Bacteria
Description: partial 16S ribosomal RNA
Rfam family: Bacterial small subunit ribosomal RNA
Source: RNAcentral